CCCAGACUCCUACGGGAGGCAGCAGUGGGGGAUAUUGCACAAUGGGGGAAACCCUGAUGCAGCGACGCCGCGUGGGUGAAGAAGCGCCUCGGCGCGUAAAGCCCUAUCGGCAGGGAAGAAGGAGGACGGUACCUGACUAAGAAGCCCCGGCUAACUACGUGCCAGCAGCCGCGGUAAUACGUAGGUGGCAAGCGUUAUCCGGAUUUACUGGGUGUAAAGGGCGUGUAGGCGGGACUGCAAGUCAGAUGUGAAAACCAUGGGCUCAACCUGUGGCCUGCAUUUGAAACUGUAGUUCUUGAGUACUGGAGAGGCAGACGGAAUUCCUAGUGUAGCGGUGAAAUGCGUAGAUAUUAGGAGGAACACCAGUGGCGAAGGCGGUCUGCUGGACAGCAACUGACGCUGAGGCGCGAAAGCGUGGGGAGCAAACAGGAUUAGAUACCCUAGUACC
This 448-nucleotide ribosomal RNA is filed under the name uncultured bacterium. RNAcentral's name for it is "partial 16S ribosomal RNA". It matches the Rfam family "Bacterial small subunit ribosomal RNA", at positions 330 to 794 of the family's 1533-position model. The record is from RNAcentral.